Oncorhynchus kisutch (coho salmon) is the source of this 1243-nucleotide long non-coding RNA. RefSeq lists it as uncharacterized. The transcript is spliced from 2 exons. Lineage: Eukaryota; Metazoa; Chordata; Actinopteri; Salmoniformes; Salmonidae. The record is from RefSeq and is a predicted model, not a curated record.
AUAAUUUGCAAUUAAUUUCUAUGACUUGAUAUUUGGGUUCAUAUCGGAGUGAAAGUUGGUUACUACGAAUAUACAAGCCAUUUUUUAAAUAAUUACUUGAAAUGUAUAGGAUUACUUAGGAUGUGUCCCAAAUUGUACCCUGUUCCCUAUUUAGUGCACUGUUUUUGCUCUUUUCAAACGUAGUGCACUGUAAGGAAUAGGGUGUCAUUUGGGACGCAACAACAGGACACUGGAGGUGUGAGCACAGUUCAGCUGUCAGGGUGGUAUUUGACCUUCGACCCCUGUAGAUGUGGCUGCCCUACGUGUGUUGUGUGCAUCAGUGAAGAGCAGUGACUACUGCGAGUACAUCAGACCGCCCACAAACCGCUACCGCACACUGGAGUUUGGCAAGUUCGACAAGAUCCUUGUGAGUCUCACUCCUUGUCUUCGACAUGGGGAGUUGGUCUGUCAUUCAGUGUCUUUUUUGCUUCCUCUUGCUCUCCCUCUUACUCUAGACCACACUUCUUCACACUUCAUCUAUCUUUCCUCCUCCUUAGUCAAAAGUGUGAAAAGGAUUUAAAGGAUUGCCGGAGAUUAGCUACAUUAGAUUCAGCCUUUGUUUGUGUGUGAGAAUGAUGUGUGUGUGCAGGAGGUGGGUUACCAGCAUGGCAACACUGUGUUCGAUGUGUGGAUUCACAGUGGAGUGGUGGAGAUCAUGCUGUAGGACCACCACCAGGAGGAGUCUCGUAACACACACAGCAACAACAAUGGACCUGUGACCUGUCCCAACGCCUCCUUCACUGACCUGGCUGAGAUCGUGUCCCGCAUCGAGCUGGCAAAACCUGCUCUGGUAGAUGGUGAGGCUGCUGAUCUUAUCUGCACAUAGAGCAGCAGAGUGCUGUGGAGGUCAUGGAGGUCCAACAGGCAUCAAGGUGUAGGCAACAACAAGACCAUAAUACCAAAUGACCUCUGAGACCUAAGCUAUUUGGCAACAAAAGUGCCAUCCUGUUUUCACAACCUCACUGCAACAUUUUCACAACUUUGUAAAAAGUAUUUUAUUUUGCCAGCUGGGAAGCUGCGAGCCAGUAGCUAGUUAUCUGUUUACUUCUCUGUUGCCAUCACAGCUGGAGUAGUUUAAUAUGUAUGUUUUUAGUGCCGCUCUGCUAGCUUUUGACCCCCCUCUUGUCUCUCUUUCAUGGGAUUGGCUCGCUGCCUCCAGUACAUUGCUGUCCUGGGGAAAAUAAAAUAUCGUUUUAUUUUUGUC